UCCAAUGGCAACUCUGCCAAGGCGCCUAUGACAGCCUGUUGGCUUUUACCUGGUCUGCGAGAAAUCAAACUUUGGGCACAAGUCAUGAAGCCGACAAGCCCGGGAGACACAGUGUCAGAAUUACAAGGAACCCUACAAGGCCUGUUAGAGAAGAAGGGGUAGAAUCCCGAGAAUGUUUUCCCCACAGUGCUGAUAAGGAGAGACCACUACCCCAUCUACUGCUACAACUCUGGAGACAUAGCUCUGCCAUCUCUCCUAUAGAACACAAGGACCAAUCUGCAGAGAAAGAGCAUCCAAACCUGAUCCAGUGGACACUGGGGAAAAACUCACCACAGCUGAGUGUGGAAAAACAAGGCCAACACACACAUCUCUGCACAGAUACAUCUCCCAUAAAGAAACUAAAGUGUUAAUUUACAGGGCGCUGUUGCAGACCCACUUCAACUGGAAGCUACGAACGUGGACAAGGAGCCUCUCUACCACCGAAGGAGAGACAGGAAUGUGCUCUUGUCCUGGCAUUGCAUCUACAGGAGGGGCAGGAAACUCUUUGAAGGUCAGUAACCCCAUACCCCAAUUAACAGUGCUUAAGUGUGAGGCUCCCUCAGAACAUCAGAGAUAUCCUCGCUCCCUCACCCCUGCCACCAGGCUAAGAAGCAUGG
Molecule: long non-coding RNA, 656 nt
Filed under: Pongo abelii (Sumatran orangutan)
Lineage: Eukaryota; Metazoa; Chordata; Mammalia; Primates; Hominidae
Description: lincRNA
Source: RNAcentral